RNAcentral lists this ribosomal RNA (253 nucleotides) under uncultured bacterium. RNAcentral's name for it is "partial 16S ribosomal RNA". It matches the Rfam family "Bacterial small subunit ribosomal RNA", at positions 524 to 776 of the family's 1533-position model. The record is from RNAcentral.
UACGUAGGGUGCGAGCGUUAAUCGGAAUUACUGGGCGUAAAGCGUGCGCAGGCGGUUAUGCAAGACAGAUGUGAAAUCCCCGGGCUCAACCUGGGAACUGCAUUUGUGACUGCAUGACUAGAGUACGGCAGAGGGGGAUGGAAUUCCGCGUGUAGCAGUGAAAUGCGUAGAUAUGCGGAGGAACACCGAUGGCGAAGGCAAUCCCCUGGGCCUGUACUGACGCUCAUGCACGAAAGCGUGGGGGGCAAACAGG